Echinops telfairi (small Madagascar hedgehog) is the source of this 160-nucleotide small nuclear RNA. Its record names the gene U1. It matches the Rfam family "U1 spliceosomal RNA". Rfam says of the family: U1 is a small nuclear RNA (snRNA) component of the spliceosome (involved in pre-mRNA splicing). Its 5' end forms complementary base pairs with the 5' splice junction, thus defining the 5' donor site of an intron. There are significant differences in sequence and secondary structure between metazoan and yeast U1 snRNAs, the latter being much longer (568 nucleotides as compared to 164 nucleotides in human). The record is from Ensembl. Lineage: Eukaryota; Metazoa; Chordata; Mammalia; Afrosoricida; Tenrecidae.
AGAUGAACGUGGAGAUGCGCCAUGAUCACAAAUGUGGCUUUCCCAGGGUGAGGCUUAUCAAUUGCACUCCGGAUGUGCAGACCCCUGCAAUUUCCCCAAACGUGGGAAACUCGACUGCAUAAUUUGCGGUAGUGGGGGACUGCGUUUGCGCUCUCCCCUG